AGCUUGCUCCCGGAUGUUAGCGGCGGACGGGUGAGUAACACGUGGGUAACCUGCCUGUAAGACUGGGAUAACUCCGGGAAACCGGAGCUAAUACCGGAUAGUUCCUUGAACCGCAUGGUUCAAGGAUGAAAGACGGUUUCGGCUGUCACUUACAGAUGGACCCGCGGCGCAUUAGCUAGUUGGUGGGGUAAUGGCUCACCAAGGCGACGAUGCGUACCCGACCUGAGAGGGUGAUCGGCCACACUGGGACUGAGACACGGCCCAGACUCCUACGGGAGGCAGCAGUAGGGAAUCUUCCGCAAUGGACGAAAGUCUGACGGAGCAACGCCGCGUGAGUGAUGAAGGUUUUCGGAUCGUAAAGCUCUGUUGUUAGGGAAAAACAAGUGCGAGAGUAACUGCUCGCACCUUGACGGUACCUAACCAGAAAGCCACGGCUAACUACGUGCCAGCAGCCGCGGUAAUACGUAGGUGGCAAGCGUUGUCCGGAAUUAUUGGGCGUAAAGGGCUCGCAGGCGGUUUCUUAAGUCUGAUGUGAAAGCCCCCGGCUCAACCGGGGAGGGUCAUUGGAAACUGGGAAACUUGAGUGCAGAAGAGGAGAGUGGAAUUCCACGUGUAGCGGUGAAAUGCGUAGAGAUGUGGAGGAACACCAGUGGCGAAGGCGACUCUCUGGUCUGUAACUGACGCUGAGGAGCGAAAGCGUGGGAGAGCGAACAGGAUUAGAUACCCUGGUAGUCCACGCCGUAAACGAUGAGUG
This 754-nucleotide ribosomal RNA is filed under the name Bacillus zhangzhouensis. Its description in RNAcentral is "bacterial SSU rRNA". It matches the Rfam family "Bacterial small subunit ribosomal RNA", at positions 77 to 815 of the family's 1533-position model. Lineage: Bacteria; Bacillati; Bacillota; Bacilli; Caryophanales; Bacillaceae. The record is from RNAcentral.